UUUCAGCGAGACGUUCAUUAAAGAGAAUAUUUCUCUUUAAGAGUAUAUUUUUCACUCUUGAAAUUAUAGAAUGAUGCCAGUGCUUGUGGUAUCAUUUCUGAUCACUUUUCUUUCGAAUUCAGCACAUUUGGAAUCUAUUCCCUAUUUGAACCCCAGGUGCGCAUGAAACUUUUCUCCAAUUAAAGGCAACCAUUGUUAAGUUAAUUAUGAACCCUUUUAUAUUUUUCUACUCUAACUGAGAUGAACAACUCUAAUUAUAGAGGACACAAAGACUCCCUGUCUGUGUGAUAGGAGUUGGAUGGGACGUCAUCACUUGUGUGUUGUGCAUUACAAGAAGGCUAGUAGUAUCCUCAUUUAGAUACGCAACAUUAUAUCAGGAGGAAACGGUACUAAAGAAUAAAGAAAUAUUACGUUUUAGUCUUCUCUUCGUUGAUUCCGAGGACGGAAUCCUUUUAAGGGGGGUAGAUUGUGAUAAUCCGGAUUUUUCGAAAUAUUUUAUUUUAUGAUUUUCUAAAAGAUGAGGAAUAAAAUUUUUAUAUUUUAUUCCCAGUCCAGUGAAAUAUCGAGAAUUUUAUUAUUUGAAAUAUUAUGUGGAUAGUAUUUUCAGGUGUAGCUUGAAAAGUUUUUGCAGUUAUGUGAUUUAACUGUGGUUCAUGUUAAAUAUGCUUCUUAUUUGGUUGUUUUAUUUGUGUGAGCAGUCAGUUUAGAAUUUUGAUUUAUUAUAUCCUUUUUAAUAAAUCAAAUUUAUCCUUUGAUUUUAAAAUCAAAGUUUGUUUUAUUUGAG
This 784-nucleotide long non-coding RNA is filed under the name Daucus carota (carrot). RNAcentral's name for it is "long non-coding RNA (DCAR_LNC007349)". Lineage: Eukaryota; Viridiplantae; Streptophyta; Magnoliopsida; Apiales; Apiaceae. The record is from RNAcentral.